CCAGUGUUAGUUGCCACCACAAUUCCAAGCCUGUAGGUAUUGCUGCAGGCAAGUUCCAACAGUGAGAAGAACUCACACAUGAAGUGGUCAAUGACAUUGGGACCACAGAAGGUCAACUCACAUGUGAAAAUAAUCUGCACAGUGGCAUGCAGGAUCCCCCCAACCCAGGCCACCACAACCAGGAGCUGGCAGAACCCAUGUCUCAUGAUGGUCGUGUAGUGCAGAGGCUUGCAGAUGGCCACAUAGCGGUCAUAAGCCAUGGCAAUGAGGACAAUCAUCUCUGAUCCUCCCAGGAAGUGUUCCAAAAAGAGCUGAGUCAGGCAGCCACCCCAGGAGAUGGUUGUCCUCUGAUAGAGCAGGUCAAAAAUCAUUUUGGGGGUGGUGACAGAGGAGAAGGAGGCAUCAAUGAAGGCCAAGUAAGUGAGAAAGAAGUACAUGGGGGCCGAAAGUGUGGGGCUGAGGGAGAUGGUAAUGACAAUGAACAGAUUGGCCAGCAAGGUAAAUAGGAAAAUGGACAAAAAGACAGUGAAGAGUAUUUUCCGCAAGUGUGGAUUCUGUGUGAGUCCCAAGAGAACAAAUUCAGUCACAUUGUUGGGAAGCGUGAGGAAAUCCAUUUAGGAAGUAACACCUUCCUGAGAGGCCUGAAUUACCUAUAACAGAAUAAAAGAAAAUGACAUUUCUUAAUUAUGAAAAGAUGUAGCAUGCAUUUCUGAGAAAUUAACUACAGUAACCACUGUGCCAAAUGUCUUUGACAUUUUUGCCCCAGUACUUUUUUUUCCCCUAUCAUUCUUACUUUCUUCGUGAUGAUUUACAUCUCUUCAGAAACAUACUACCAGUCACUGAAGAAAUUUAUAUAGGGGAACAUUGGAUGUGCAAUUUACUGAGAAAACACUGUGCUGUCUACAAGAGAUCAGGUUUCUCCUCCUGAUUCUAAAUCUAAGUGACUUUUCCAAGUCAUCUCAGUGCCCCAUACUCCUGAGCCUCUGUGUGUGUGUGUGUGUGAACUUACACAUUGUAAUUCUCAAAUGUGUCUCAUAAGCUGAGAGUUGCCCCAGGAUUUAAGAAUUAUUCCCUCUUCAAUGUUAAUUGACAUUUGAUCACUCAGCUCUAAAUGUGCAAAGAAAUACACCAUCAGUAAAUAUCUAUCAUAAGCAGAGUAUUACUAGAAAUAUAUAUAAGUCAUCAGUGACACACUCUCCCUGGUACCCCCCCGCCCCAGAACAUAUAACUUACUCAAGUGUGUUUUCUCACAUAGAGUAAUUCUGGGUGUCUGCAGUGUCUGCAACCUAUUAGGUGAUGAGUAAAUGCUUAGUGGAUUCCCAUUCUCCAUGUGUAAGAAUAAGACUGCUUCUCCAGACAGUAAACCUGAGGAGAAUUCAAGUGCUCUAGUUCUCCUGCUCUGUUUAUCAUUACUCUUUACAUUAUGAGUUACAUAAAUGAACACUGUGUGGAAGCUGCUCUCCAGUUUAAUAGUUUCUGAUACACUUUAUGGGGUAAUAUGAAAAUAUUUAAUUGCCACUGGGAAAAACUACACUACUGAAUCAUUUACUUUAGAUAAUUAGUGUGUUAAUUAUUUUUUAUUCUUCAAAAUUAUGUUCAACAUACAAUUUUAAAUAGUCAUAUUCAGUACAUGUACAACUUCUGUAUACUUGCUUAAAACAAAACAAAAUAAAACAAACAAAACAAAACUCUUGCUGGAGUUCCCACUCUGGCAAACUAGGUUAAGUUCUGAUCAUGUGUCAGCAGUUCAGAUCAAUCAGGAGAUUCAAUUCCUAGCUCAGCACACUGGGUUAAAGAUCAAGCAUUGCUACUGCUGGGUCACAGGUUACAGCUGUGACUUGGGUUCAAUCCCUAACCUGUGAAUUUCCAUGUGCUGUGGUACAGACAUAUAAAUUAAAACAAACAAAAACCUCUUGCAUAGGUGUUCUUUACUGAAGGAUCUCUGGAGCAAAGAAAUCUUUACUUUCAAAGUUUUAGAAAUAAAAAUUAAAUGUGGAGAACAGAGAGAAUUAGUCUGAUAGGUAAGACAGUGAGGUAGAUAAUGUACUAUACAUAUAUGCACAGAUUAACACAAACACAUAUAAGAUCUACUCUUUAGUAUAAAUACCUACUAAAGUUUACUCAUUCAAAAAAUAUUUAUUGGACACUUGCUUUGUAUAUGAACGUGUUCGCAGAAAGUCUUGGAGAGUCUCCCUGUUAAAUACCCUAAAUGGCUGAAAUUUCUUUACCAGAGAGCAGCAAGACAUCCAUCCAUGAUAUGAAUGACCUUCCCACACCUUCAUAUUUCUGCUACAUGCAUUCUCAUGCAUUCUUCUCCCAUCAUCAAUAUAUCCUUCCUCCAUCAUUCCUGGUUACAAGUUACUGCAUUACUAAUAGAAUGAUAAAUUUGGGAACAUUAAUUUCCUAAGAAAAGAGAAGAGAUAAAUGUAAUAAAAUAUAUUCAACAAAACUAUUUUAUUUCAAAGAUAAAUGAGUAUGAAAAUUCUAUACAUAUGUGGAAACAAAGUGUAGCAGCUCAUUGCAAUCUCUUAUUCUAAGGUUGGCUCCCCUAACAGAUCAGAAAAGAAUACAGUGUACAUAAAAUAACUGUUCGACAUAAUUAAGAAAAGUGUUUUAGAAAAAACUACGAAGAAAUAUAAAUCAUUUUUUUCCAUUUUUCUUUGGCUCCAUAAUACAUCAUCUAAGAAUAAACCCCAAAGGGACAUAUUUUCAAGGAGAAAAAUCAUUAUUUCCAUAUAUGUCAAUGCAAUUAUUAAGAGCUAGUGAAAAUUUCAGCAUUGGAGAAAUGGAUAAUUAAAACAUAGUGUGACUCUUUGAUUAAUGUUUAGUUGUUAACAGAGGUGUUUAAAAAUUGUGCAAUAUUGUAAGAAAACAUUUAUGUUUUAUUCUUAAGUGGUGAACAUUUUGGAUGCAAAUUUGAAUUGUAGAAUUAUUCCAAUUUAAACCUAAUUACUUUUGUUAUUAUUCUAUUUUAAAUUUAUAUCAAUAAGAAAAAAAUCCCAAAAUAUUUUUAUUUCUAAGUUGGUAGUAUUAUACUUGAGUAUUUUUAUCAUGAUGUUUUGUGUGCUGAAAAGAGAUUUUGCCAUGAGAUGGUUGAGGAUGAAUGGUAAUAUUAUGAUUUGUAAGAUCCAUGUAAACCUGAGAGUCUAUAAUUAUUUAACUUCCUAGAAAAAAAUCUUACCUAUAAACUUGUCUGGCAUAACUCCAUGGCCAGGUCCCCAGGAAGGUAUUCGUUCACCAGGAAAGAUGGUGUAAGAUUACAAAUGCCAACUACAACUCAGCUACAUGAUUCUUUGUUAAUUUAUAAAUGACAUCUUUGGAUAAGCCUUAAAAGUGCAACUGCAUAUACUUUUCGCAGAUAAAUUCUCUAAAGUUUUUAGCUGUGGCUAAUGGGACCUCAGGGGUAUUUUACCACCAUUAGCAGACCUUGCUGACAACCCAAUCAUUUCAUAUAAGAUAAGCAAACAGCAGGGGAGAACUUUUAUAGCAUUCCUCUUUAGUUUCAAAUGCAUCCUUGAGUUUACAUGAACACAAAAAUGGUGUAAGAAAAACAAAAAUGUUGACCCCUAAUUAAUUUAGGUAUUUGCAAACAUAUGGACUUAUUAUGGAGUCUGGAUAUUUAGUAUUGUGCAAAUUAAGCAUUUAGGGUGGCAACUACCUGAUUUUUAAAUGUUAUUACAAUAACAUUUUAAAUUGAUCUACAACUCAUGCAUCAUAAUUUUUAAAUAUGGAUUUCAAGUAUAAAUUAAGUGAUAAUUAUGAACCCUAUUAAAAUAUUGGCACUUCACAUGAGGGAAAGUUUACAGCACUUCUUCAAAGUGUUAUUUCUUGUGCCAAUUCUGAAAUUAAAUUAUCAUGAUAAUGAGUAAAAUCAUUUUAUUUUUCAAUUAUACUUAGAGAUGAUAAGUUGCAUUUAUUUCAUUCCUUUAACAGUAAUUGUACAAUAUACAAAUAGAAGAGAGAAUUGGUGAUAAUAUUCACAAUUUAUAAUAAAUUAAUAUAAGACAGGGAAUAAGAAUGUCACUUGCCAGAGGCAAAAAAGAAACCAGGCCAUGAAAUUCUGGGCCAGGAUUUUCAUCUUUAAAAGUAUUGUUUUACAACUAAAUUUGCAUGACAUAUUUAUAAUGCUACCAACUAUUAAGGCCAAUUAUACCUACCUAGUAAAAGAAAUAAAUUCCAAAAUUUGAAAUAGUUUGUAAAUAAAUUUAAUUUGACUCAUAAACUUCCCUGUAUAGAUGCACUUUAAUCAUAUUCAAAUAUGUUUGCAUUAAUAAGAAGAAAAGUAAACUGUUCAUCACUCUGGAUGGGCUCCAGAGAAUGUGGAGCCCACUAGUGAGCAACAUGAUUCAUGAAGGAAAAGAGCUGAAGAAAUUUGAAACCAUAGGACUGAACCUAGUUUUACUGGACACGUCAAUACUAUAGUGCUGAAAUAAUAUUAGCAACAGCCGAUGCCAAAGACAGUGUGAAUGAGGAUUUGGAACUAUCUAAAGAAUUAUAAGGAAUAUGGAUUUAGCUGAAGUGUCAUGUUGAAAAUGCCUUGAACUUGCGUUUCUACUCCGAAAUGAAAGCCAGAGUCAAAUCAGAGAGUAAGAAUGUAUAGAGUCAUCAUUCCCAACCUUAUGAAGGAUUGAAAUCCAUUCACAAUUUUUCAUUAAAAGGUCAUCCAGCUUCUAUUUAAAAAGUUACAGUGCUGGGUAGAGAAUAAGGAUAAAACCCUUACAUAUUUAGUCUAGCUGCCUAAGAUGACUCUUAGAAGAUAAUUGUAAUGGUGUGAUUCUAGGUAUAGGAAGGAGGAAGAAGGGAAACUAUUUCUUGGAUCAAUUAGACUUGUAAGACAGAGGAUCCCAAGAAGUUACAUUUUCAACAGGGCUUAAUACAUAAAUUAUCAUUGGGAGUGGCAUGCCAACAGUAUGUAUUUCACCCAAUUUGGGAUAAAUUUCCAACUGCCAUAGGACAAAAAUUGUUCAUGAAAUGUGUGACGGAUAUUGGUUGACUUUUGGAACAAAGGGAGGGGCUGUGAACUAAGAUAUUGCAGGCCAUGUGAAUAAACAAAUGUUGCCGCAGCUAUCAGGCCACCACAUUACAGCCACCUUGAAGCUAAGCCCUGAGGGAACUCAGGAUGGAAACAAAAAGGACCAGCCAUUUAGCAGCCACCUGCUGCAGAGAUCCCAGAUGGGGCACCCUGAGGAGACUGAGGAUGAGAAAGCGCAGGACACUGACCCAGAGAGCUGAGGUGCCUAACCAGGGAAUGAUUGCAGUGAGCCCAGACCCUGCAUCUUCCUAUGCAUGGAAAAGCUCUAAGUUCCUUAACUCAAGAUAGGGGGGUUUCUUUUAUUAAUAGUAAUCUUCAUGUUAUGACUUCCCGCUCUUGUUUUUGUAAAAACUCCCAUGUAUCUGUUCUCCUACCCAUGCCUGUUCAUAACAGUUUCUCUCCAUUAUCUGAGAUACUCUAUCCCAGGCUUGAGUCCUCAAAAUAUCCACCAAAUAAAACAUAAUUCUCAAAUUUUAUUUUAUUUUAUUUUUGUUGAUACUUUGUAGACCCACCACUUAUUAGGAGGAGUCUCUUUUAUCUAUUGUAUAUUCUUGCAUCCUUGAAGAACGCCAUGCACAACCUAGUAAACACAUUCUCCCCCAUACCAUCCUGGGGCAUUAAUGUAUGUUCAAAUUAAUGUAUGUUCAAAUUAUGGAAGAAAUGGCUCAGAUUGACCACUGACUUGGAGAAAGUGAUUCUGAGAGAAGUCACAUGAGGUGGAAUGUUGUAGGCAGAGAUGUAAUAAUGUAGACUCACCCAGUAUUCUCCACACACUUAGAAGCACAUUGCAGGCAUCUCCCACUUUCUGAAGGUUCACAUUUGCUAUUUUGAUUUUAUGAAGGUCUAUGUUAGUGCAUAUUUUCACUUGUGAGAAAAACAUCUGAAGGGUAUUUUUGCUUUUACACACACACACACACACACACACAUAAACCUGUUGCCAUCCUAGUAUUGGUCUUUUGUAAAUGUGAACUGGCAUAACUUGAACUUUCAAAGAAAGAAAAAUACUUAUGGUGCUGAAAUAUAUUGCUCUAUGUGAGAUUAAUUCUACAACAUAUGGAUGAUAUCUCAUGUUUUUCAAAGUGGAUUAUUAAGAAAGCAAAUAAUGUUGUUGUCUACAGACUUAAACAUACCACAGGUAAUCAUAUUUCAGUAUAAAGAAAGUAGGUUUGAAUUUUGAUGGCUUUGUAGCUGAAACUUUGAAAUCAAGCUGCAUUCCAGUGUAAUAUUUCCUAGCAUACUUUAUGGAGGAUGCAUGUGUGUUGUGAGAGGCAGGUAAAUUAGUAAAACUCUUUUGGCUUUAAUUUUCUUUUCCAGAGUUCCCAUCGUGGUGCAGUGGUUAAUGAAUUCGAUUAGGACCAUGGGGUCGCGGGUUUGAUCCCUGGCCUUGCUUAGCAGGUUGGGGAUCUGGCUUUCCUGUGAGUUGUGGUAUGGGCUGCAGACAUGGCUUGGAUCCCACCUUGCUGUGGCUCUGGUGUAGGCCGGUGGCUACAGCUCCGAUUCGACCCCUAGCUUGGGAACCUCCAUAUGCCGCAAGAGCAGCCCAAGAAAUAGCAAAAAGACAAAAAAAAAAAAGAAAAAA
RNAcentral lists this long non-coding RNA (6611 nucleotides) under Sus scrofa (pig). RNAcentral describes it as "lncRNA (ENSSSCG00035036588.1)". The record is from RNAcentral. Lineage: Eukaryota; Metazoa; Chordata; Mammalia; Artiodactyla; Suidae.